UGAGGAAUAUUGGUCAAUGGGUGAGAGCCUGAACCAGCCAAGUCGCGUGAAGGAAGACUGCCUUAUGGGUUGUAAACUUCUUUUAUAGGAGAAUAAAAAAGGGUAUGCAUACCCUAUUGCAUGUAUCCUAUGAAUAAGCAUCGGCUAACUCCGUGCCAGCAGCCGCGGUAAUACGGAGGAUGCGAGCGUUAUCCGGAUUUAUUGGGUUUAAAGGGUGCGCAGGCGGGAAUUUAAGUCAGCGGUGAAAUCUCGACGCUCAACGUCGAAACUGCCAUUGAAACUGGAUUUCUUGAGUAUAGAUGAAGUAGGCGGAAUUCGUUGUGUAGCGGUGAAAUGCAUAGAUAUAACGAGGAACCCCAAUUGCGUAGGCAGCUUACUAAACUAUAACUGACGCUCAAGCACGAAAGCGUGGGUAUCAAACA
RNAcentral lists this ribosomal RNA (422 nucleotides) under uncultured bacterium. Its description in RNAcentral is "bacterial SSU rRNA". It matches the Rfam family "Bacterial small subunit ribosomal RNA", at positions 355 to 774 of the family's 1533-position model. The record is from RNAcentral.